AGCAGCCGCGGUAAUUCCAGCUCCAAUAGCGUAUAUUAAAGUUGUUGCAGUUAAAAAGCUCGUAGUUGAAUUUCGGGGUUAAUAAGUUGGUCGUGCCAAUGGUAUGUACUGGCUUUAUUGAUUCCUACUUCUUGAAGAACUGUGAUGCCAUUAAUUUGGUGUUGCAGGGAAUCAGGACUGUUACCUUGAAAAAAUUAGAGUGUUUAAAGCAGGCUUACGCUUGAAUACAUUAGCAUGGAAUAAUGAAAUAGGACGUUUGAACCUAUUUUGUUGGUUUCUAGGAUCGACGUAAUGAUUAAUAGGGAUAGUUGGGGGCAUUAGUAUUCAAUUGUCAGAGGUGAAAUUCUUGGAUUUAUUGAAGACUAACUACUGCGAAAGCAUUUGCCAAGGAUGUUUUCAUUAAUCAAGAACGAAAGUUAGGGGAUCGAAGACGAUCAGAUACCGUCGUAGUCUUAACCAUAAACUAUGCCGACUAGGGAUCGGAUGAUGUUAAUUUUUAAUUGACUCAUUCGGCGCCUUA
Molecule: ribosomal RNA, 520 nt
Filed under: uncultured Glomus
Lineage: Eukaryota; Fungi; Glomeromycota; Glomeromycetes; Glomerales; Glomeraceae
Description: SSU rRNA
Rfam family: Eukaryotic small subunit ribosomal RNA
Source: RNAcentral